AGUGAACGCUGGCGGUAGGCCUAACACAUGCAAGUCGAACGGCAGCACAGUAAGAGCUUGCUCUUACGGGUGGCGAGUGGCGGACGGGUGAGGAAUACAUCGGAAUCUACUUUUUCGUGGGGGAUAACGUAGGGAAACUUACGCUAAUACCGCAUACGACCUACGGGUGAAAGCAGGGGAUCUUCGGACCUUGCGCGAUUGAAUGAGCCGAUGUCGGAUUGGCUAGUUGGCGGGGUAAAGGCCCACCAAGGCGACGAUCCGUAGCUGGUCUGAGAGGAUGAUCAGCCACACUGGAACUGAGACACGGUCCAGACUCCUACGGGAGGCAGCAGUGGGGAAUAUUGGACAGUGGGCGCAAGCCUGAUCCAGCCAUACCGCGUGGGUGAAGAAGGCCUUCGGGUUGUAAAGCCCUUUUGUUGGGAAAGAAAAGCAGCAGGUUAAGACCCCGCUGUUCUGACGGUACCCAAAGAAUAAGCACCGGCUAACUUCGU
This 491-nucleotide ribosomal RNA is filed under the name uncultured bacterium. Its description in RNAcentral is "partial 16S ribosomal RNA". It matches the Rfam family "Bacterial small subunit ribosomal RNA", at positions 29 to 506 of the family's 1533-position model. The record is from RNAcentral.